This 747-nucleotide ribosomal RNA is filed under the name uncultured bacterium. Its description in RNAcentral is "bacterial SSU rRNA". It matches the Rfam family "Bacterial small subunit ribosomal RNA", at positions 90 to 854 of the family's 1533-position model. The record is from RNAcentral.
ACUUAGUGGCGGAUGGGUGAGUAACGCGUGGAUAACCUGCCUUACACUGGGGGAUAACACUUAGAAAUAGGUGCUAAUACCGCAUAAGCGCACGGAGCCGCAUGGCUCAGUGUGAAAAACUCCGGUGGUGUAAGAUGGAUCCGCGUCUGAUUAGCUGGUUGGCGGGGUAGAAGCCCACCAAGGCGACGAUCAGUAGCCGGCCUGAGAGGGUGACCGGCCACAUUGGGACUGAGACACGGCCCAAACUCCUACGGGAGGCAGCAGUGGGGAAUAUUGCACAAUGGGGGAAACCCUGAUGCAGCAACGCCGCGUGAGUGAAGAAGUCAUUCGUGAUGUAAAGCUCUAUCAGCAGGGAAGAAAAUGACGGUACCUGAGUAAGAAGCCCCGGCUAACUACGUGCCAGCAGCCGCGGUAAUACGUAGGGGGCAAGCGUUAUCCGGAUUUACUGGGUGUAAAGGGAGCGUAGACGGCAAUGCAAGCCAGAUGUGAAAACCCGCAGCUCAACUGGGGGAGUGCAUUUGGAACUGUGUAGCUGGAGUGCAGGAGAGGUAAGCGGAAUUCCUGGUGUAGCGGUGAAAUGCGUAGAUAUCAGGAGGAACACCAGUGGCGAAGGCGGCUUACUGGACUGUAACUGACGUUGAGGCUCGAAAGCGUGGGGAGCAAACAGGAUUAGAUACCCUGGUAGUCCACGCUGUAAACGAUGAAUACUAGGUGUCGGGGGUUUACGGACGCCCGGUGCCGCAGCAA